AACGAACGCUGGCGGCGCGCCUAAUACAUGCAAGUCGAGCGAGAAGACGUAGCAAUACGUUUGUAAAGCGGCGAACGGGUGAGGAAUACAUGGGUAACCUACCCUCGAGUGGGGAAUAACUAGCCGAAAGGUUAGCUAAUACCGCGUACGCUCCUUGGACUUCGGUUCAGGGAGGAAAGCGAUACCGCGGGUAUCGCGCUCUUGGAUGGGCUCAUGUCCUAUCAGCUUGUUGGUGAGGUAACGGCUCACCAAGGCUUCGACGGGUAGCUGGUCUGAGAGGACGAUCAGCCACACUGGCACUGCGACACGGGCCAGACUCCUACGGGAGGCAGCAGUAAGGAAUAUUGCGCAAUGGGCGAAAGCCUGACGCAGCGACGCCGCGUGGGGGAUGAAGGUCUUCGGAUUGUAAACCCCUUUCGGGAGGGAAGAUGGAACGAGCAAUCGUUCGGACGGUACCUCCAGAAGCAGCCACGGCUAACUUCGUGCCAGCAGCCG
This 495-nucleotide ribosomal RNA is filed under the name uncultured bacterium. RNAcentral describes it as "bacterial SSU rRNA". It matches the Rfam family "Bacterial small subunit ribosomal RNA", at positions 29 to 517 of the family's 1533-position model. The record is from RNAcentral.